CCACGUGACCCCCCUACCUACUCUUCUACACGUUUUUUUUGCCAUCAUCAUAUAGGAGGGGAAUAUAUGGACAUCAUUAUUUUUUCUCCAUGGGGUUUUUUCGAUUUUACACAAUAUACACAAAAGAAUACACAUAGAGAUGCCAUAUUCAGAAUACCUCACAGAUCCUCACUCUCAAAACACACAAAAAUCGCGCGCACACACACACAAAAAUUAGAGAGAGCAAGACGGACAAAGCCAAAAUAGCGAGAAAAAGAUCAAAAAGUGGACUGAUACCAGAAGAAGGGCGGUUAGAAUAGAGAACCAGCGAGAGAUCUAACUGUCUUCUCGAGUUUUUUCGAUGAACUUUUCGCCAAAAUUAGUUUAUAGUUCGUCUUUUGAUCGAUUCAGGCUUAAAAUCCCUAAAUCUCUUUGUUUCUGUUGAUUUCUAAGCAAAUUCGGUCGGAAAACACUAAGAUUCGUCGGAAUCCAUCUUGAUUCGUCAUUUUCUACCGCCGUCUGAGCUCACCAGAACUCGGGCUACAUUGGUUUUUGGUUUUCUAUCGUGUUGUUGGGGUUUUGAGUUCGUCUAUUUUCACAACUGUUGUUGAUAUCGGUCCUCGGGGUUUUCGUGAUCAAAUUGUGUCAACGUUUGUGAUUUGUGUUUCAUAUCAAGAGUUUUCCCACUGGUUUUGAAUCUGUCUGGAUCGUUAUUUCUUGAUAUUGAGUUGGAGUUUGGUUCGUUGUCGAGGUGCUUUAUUCGGGAUUCCAAGUUUGGGCUUUCUAAACAUUAUUAUCAACGAAAUUGGUUUUUCAAAGGUCCAUCCCUUAACUCUACUCCUUUAUUAUCUCAAAUGUGGGCAUGUCAUGAUUUUGUGGUGUGGUUUUGAAUAUUUUGAGCAAUGUCAAUUGUUGUUAUGGGUAUGAAUGACUCAUGUUCUUAAUAUGUUUGAAUCUUUGUUGGGUGUAUGUGUUUGAUGUUGGUUUCAGACUUUGAAAAGUGAUUUGAUAAUCGAAGAAUUUGUUAACCAUUGGUUGAGAAUGGAUCCGGGGCAGGAAUCAAAAAUUUGAUAAAAGAUGAAUAUAAAUUAGUUGUUUUGAUUCACUGUUAUUGUUACUUUAGCAUCCAAUUGUCAAUUCCUCGAUAGUAUCAUGAUAGGUCUAACAGGAUCGGCAAACAGUAGGCUUGGAUAGGCAAAUUUAGAAUUUGUGGAUUGUUGAGUAUGUGGAAUAUUUGUUGAAUGAUUUUAUGUUUUCUCGCAUUUGUAAAAUGUAUUCAUUUAGACGGGGAAUGCCCCGACGUAUCAUGUAUGCAAAGGAGGUUUUUGAUGAUGGCCCGAGGCAUCGGGUAAAGUAGUGGAGCUUAGUCUAGGAUUAGUUUAGAAUAGGAUUUACAUUUUUGCAAUUUUUUUAUUUUGGGACUGUAUAAUUCGGUUUGGACAUUAUUUUGGUUUUGAAUUUUGUUUGAUUUGUUUGUUUGCUUGUUUUGUGUGUUUAUGUGGUUUAUACAUUUUAUAGUGUCAAAUUAGCUGAUAUGCUCCACCAAGCUACCGUGGUCGAACCACGGGAUCGAGGGGUGCCUAACACCUUUUCCUCGGUCAAUAGAAUUUCUUAGUCGGAAUCUCUGUUUGCAAAUCAGUUUUUUUAAAGAGUCAAAAACAGUUUUGAAAAAGAAUUUUCAAAGGUGACUUGGCACACCUGAUUAUGCCAAGUGGUGACUCUGAAUUUAAAUAUAAAGGCACACCUGAUUAUACCAAGUGGUGACUCUGAAUUUAAAUAUAAAUAAUCCUUUUUCAAAAUAAAUUUUCAUUUUUGUCACUUAAUAAUAAAAACUCUUUCAAACUUUAAAAUAUAAUCUUUUUUGAUAAAAAAAAAAGGGUGUGACAGCCCUGGCGACUCUGCUGGGGACCAUUUUAGAAUUCGAGCUUAUUUUUGGAGUUGUAUCGGCUUAGUUUGGCUUUAUGGGUGUAUAGAUGUUGUUUGUGUUUUUGUUUGUAUUUGUUUUAUCAUGGUUGAGUGUCUACUUGCUACAUGUUUACAGUUUUUCCUUUUAUGUGUUACCACUUUAUAUCUGGCAUCAUUUGCAUAACCCGAAUCAAUUCUUUCUGCAAGAAGUUCUGUAGUACACGUUGUGUACACGACCUCUAAUUGAGUCACUCUUAUUUUAGAAGGGGGAGUCAUCGGCUGGUAUGGAGUAGGUGGAAAGAAAUUGCAGCCACUAUCGACCAUAUGCUCCCCCGAACAGCCUUAUUAGUGGACCCCAGCAUAGGUCAAUCUUUAGGUCAUGUUUAUCUGCAUCAUAUUGAGACCUAGCGGGACCCACUUGGUCCUUUGUAGGAGACUCACCCCUAAAAUAUCCUUACGUGUUAAUUGUUGCAUCUUUUAGGGUAAUAGGAUCAUUUAACAGACUGAUUCGGGAAAAGCUUGUUCUAGAAUUAAAAGAAAGUGUGUAGGCAAGGAAAAUUUCAAGAAAAAAAAGGAAAAAAAGAAAAGAAAGUGAGUCAAAAAAAGAGUUUCACAGUUUUUUAGAGUUCUUUAUGGCUUUUUUUUCAUAAUUCAAAAAUUCAAAAAAAGACUUUUCCCUAUUGUGCGCAUUUCUCAAAAAAAAACAAAAACAUCAAAAAGAUUGUCCUUUUGUUCCUUUAGCAUGCGUUCAUUAUUCAAAAAAAAAAAAAUUAAUAGGAGCUUUUUAUUAAAAGAAAAUUCAAAAAAAAUGGUAGAAGGUUUGUACAUUUCAUAUAAUGAAAAUAUCAAAAAGAUUUUUUUUCUUUCAUAGUUGUUGCUGUCAUUUUUGUGUGAAGUGUCAAAUUAAAAACCCAAAAAGAUUUUACUUUCAUCGUCUGUCUGUAAUCGCGUCGCUCAAGUUAAGUUUUAGUUUGUUAUCUAAUCCUUAAUUGUCCAAUCUGGACGAACUACGCAUACCUGAUUCUCGUCCCUCAGGGAGGGAUACAUAGGCAACCCUCGAUGGGUUCGGUAAUUCUUUAGUUCGAUCAUUGCCUCAGUCCUAGCCACAGGCCCUUUUUUUCUUAGUUUUGUAUUGUCGGUCAUAGCCAAACAGGCUAAUUUCAUUAGUAAGGCCAUUCAAUGCAUUUGAAUUACAAGUCGGUCUAUCCCUCCGUGUCAUACGACAUUUCUCCAUGUUAAAAUUCCGAGGGUUGGGAAUUCCUUUUCUCUUAUUGAAUUUUAAGUCAGUGUCCUAUGUGUUAAUAUAGGAUGGAUCCGUCUACAAAGUCUAGAGUCUUGAUGGUUUCCAAGGUGCCCAAAAAGUUAAUCAAAUGGUAGGGCAUGUUUAACUACGUCGAACAACAAGAGCUAACAAAGAAGUUAGGUACUCUCACCUCUAUCCUAGACCUCACGCCUGCCCUGAUCUGAUCGAGGCUAUAUUGACUUUUUGGGACCCAAAUUGUUUGGUAUUUAGGUUUGGAAGUUGUGAAAUGACGCCUACUUUGAUAGAGAUAUCUGGUUUCUUUGAUUUGUUUUACAUUAAGAAAAAGAUGAUUCGAGCGUGGAUUCAUUCUCCCACACGGUUCCUUCAUGAUUAUGGAUUAAAGAUGAAUAACCACCUGGGAUUCCUUAACCAAUCUUGGGUCUCCUUUGAUUACUUGUAUGCUCGGUUUGGGCCCUCAGACGGUUUUACUUGCUUUUGGGAUAAAUUCUAUACAACUAAGGAAAAUUGGAAGAAACGUCGUCUAAAAGACUUCACUCUUGCCUUGUUGGGCAUUUUAUUCUUUCCAUUAGAAGAAAGGUGGGUUAAUAGUCAUUUGCAGUCUGUAGUGAUGGCCUUAUUUCAUAAAAAGCUAGGGGAUACAUUCACUAUCCUACCUAUGAUCUUAGCAGAAAUAUAUAAUGCUUUGACCAAAGUAAAUGGGGGGAUGAGAUUUUUUUAGGAAAGCAACCUGAUAUUGCAAUUGUGGAUGAUGGAGCAUUUGCAUGCGCCUUCUUUGAUCAAAUCGAAUGUGGUCGACCGUUGUAUGCCCGAGCGAGUGAAAGCCAUGGAACACAGAAUGUGCUUUGAUAAGUUCUCACUACCAGUGAGAGUCGAUGCUUGGAUUGAACUUCUCGAGUCAAGAACUGAGGACAACAUUCUGUAGACCUAUCUCUAGAUUCAUCCAAAAAUAAUCCUAUAUGGUUGUUGGGUGCAGCUCCUUCUAGUUCUGUUAGGGCUCAAUUACACUAGGCCAUAACCUUCUUUUAGGGUGAUGCGCCAAUUGGGUAGAGUGCAAGACGUUCCACCAGUAAUGGAUCUUCUAAAGGAUGUUGAACAUUUUAAAAACCAAGCCUUAGGUGAGAGCAAAUAUGAACAGUUCUGGCAUCACACAACAAAGCUAGGUGUGGAUACUCUCAAAGUAGGUUUGCACAAUCUGGGAUACACUCAAAGAUAUGAGAUCUGGCUGCAAUCCAUACCUCAGGGUAUCAGUAGGCCAUUACUAGUUCAACUUAGAGGAAGGAUGCGGGAAGCAUACAUAGUUGAGGACAGUGAGAAGGAAGAUAGAGAUGCUAAAAUGGAGCUAUUGAGAGUUCAGUUAUCAGCUUUGAUCACAACUAUAGAGGGGUACCAGAAAAAACUUUUUGGGUGUACUCUCUAAGAGGCAGGGACACGUACGAGAAGCUUCCUACCGAGUAUCAAAGUGUCGUUGAAGGAUAUGUUGCAAAAUUUGAGUGGACUUCCCAGACAAGUCCAUCUCAGCCAGGGCCAUCACGCAGCGUAGCAGUUUGAAGGGGAACUUCCUAUCUUUUAUUUAGUUUGAGUCCUUUGUUUUUCUAUCAUUGUAUUGUUGUGUCUUUGUUAAGUUGGUGUCAAGUUUGUUUUAACAUUAGAAUCUUUCUUAGGAGUGUUACGCAUGUUGUCUUGUGGGUUUAGAGUGUUCUUCAGUCUUUGUUGAUUAGUAUUAAGGUUGUCUUAAAUUCGAAACUUGUUUUAGUUGUUUCUUUUAUGAAAUGUAAUGAUGUUGCGUUGUGCCUUUUUUUUUUGUUUUCAUCAUUAAAAAAAAUAAAAAAUCAUCAACUUUGUGCAUACUUCCCAAACUAUGCAAGAUCUAAUUCAUGUAUAACAUGAUACGUAGCAACUUAUUUUUGCGUUCGAUCUAAUCAUUUUAUUUCUUUGUUUUCCUCAAAUUAUUCUCCUUUACAGAAAAACAAAAACCACAAAGAAUGAUUAAAAAAAGAAUAGUAAGAGAAGAAAAAAAAAAGAAAGAAUAGUGAGAGAAGAAAAGGGAAGAAAAAGAGACUGAUGCAAAGAAGAGAGAAGCGGGGGCAAAAAGUAUAAAAGAAUGAGGUGUGGUGAGAGGGGAAGAAAAAAUAGUAUAAGGGAGAGAUCGGGAUGAUGUUAAAAUGGCCUCAUUACCCUCAAAGGCUGGUAGAAAUGCGCAUGAAUCUAGGAUGUGUAUACAAUGUGAUUUCCAUGCUUGUUGUGUGACCUAAUCCUAACAGGUUUUGUCUUUGAUGAGCAUGUUCUUUCAGAUAAAAGUGGUUGGCUUAUAGCACUCUGGCUAGUCAUCCUUACUUUACUAGAUCAAAAGCAAAGCUCGCCAUGUCCAACAAAGAAGUAGAAAAUUUGCUCAUUGACCUGAACCAGAGUCCUGGUGAAGGAGGUUCCGAACAUAAUGAAGAGAUAUUGAGACUCAGACAACAACUGGCAGAAAUGCACCAAGCCUGGGUCAGUGGCAUGUCUCUUUCUCUAUACCCAGAUGAUCUCGGCACACUUCCAAUUAUUCGUCGCUAUCUCAGGUGCAGUUUUAUGGUCCUACUAAUACGCCCUAUCAUGCGCCCAGAUUCAUGGAACAUCAGUACUAUCAUGGAACUUCUGGUGUGCCCUUGACAGUCCCUCAAUAGAGGCCUUCUUCUCAUUUAGAACCACCUACGGCACCUGUGUUUGUGGAUCCUCCACCACCUGAAUCUCUUACUUAUGGUGUUCGUCUAAUAAUCAUGCUCCCUAGAUCUACUAGUGAGCCGGUGUUGAAGGUUUCGGAUGAUCAUUAUUAUGCCCCGAAGCCUACUUUGAAUAUAACUAAACCGAAUGGGGACACUUAGCCACUUGUAUUUCUAUUUGAUAUAGAGAAACCUAUUGGAACAAAGGAACAAGAAGUCAUGGCAUGGAAAUUGAAGAGUCUAGAAUAGGCCAUGAGAAAUUUACAGGGACUUGGGGGUUAUAAAAGUGUUUCGUAUAAAGAUUUAUGUAUGUUUCUAGGUGUUAACCUUUCUCUUGGCUUUAAGAUGCCGAAGUUUGAGAAGUAUGAUGGACACAGGGCUCUGGUGGCGCAUUUGAGGCAUUAUUGUAAACAAUUAAGGGGCGCUGGAGGUAAAGAAGAAUUACUCAUGGCCUAUUUCAGUGAAAGUCUUUCGAGUCUAGCCUCAGAUGGUUUGUGGAUUAGGACAUCGACAAGUGUAAUAGUUGGGAUGACCUGGCUAAUAAAUUUGUGCAAGAAUUUCAAUAUAAUGUGGAACUAAUCACUGAUGAGAAAUCCUUGACUAAUAUGAAGAAGAAGAGUACUAAAAGCUUUAGGGAGUACGUGAUAAGGUGGCGUGGACAAGCCGCUAGGAUAAAACCUCCGAUGAAAGAAAGUAAAUUGGAGGAGGUCUUUAUUUAGACAUAAGAUGAAACCUAUUUCCAACACUUGCUUCCGGCGAUGGGUAAGUCAUUUAUCGAACUUCUCAAAAUUGGAGAGAUGAUAGAAGAGGGUAUCAAGAUCGAACGAAUCAUGAGUUUUGCUGCAUUAAAGGCCACCACCCAAGCAAUUCAGAGUGGUUCUGGAGCUUUUGGUGGGAAAAAGAAGAAAAAAGAUGUAGUGACUCUUGUAGCUGGACCACAAGCCUAUCCAAAAAAACUGCCUCGCCCCUAUCCCUAGUCUCAAGCCUAAGUCUAUGACCAAGUCCCAUAUACUCCCCCCAUCAUUACUACCCUCCGAAAAACCCACUAUAUUCUAUUCCACCACUCUUAUACCCAGUAUAUAGCGCACAGCCAUAUGUCCAAACCCCUUCCUACCCAUAAUAGCGUGCACCAGAUCCUCAAAAUCUUCCCUCAACACCACAAAAUUACCAAAAACCUUCCAAAUCUAGUUUUCAACCUACGAUUGAGUUUAAUAAAGUAAAGUUAGUCAAGAAUAAGUUCACACCUCUUGGGGAGUCAUAUUCUAGUUUGUUUCAAAGGUUAAAGAAGAUGAAGGUCUUGAGCCCAAUUCAAGGAAGCUUUCGAAUCCACCUCCAAAGAAUCUUGAUUAUUCUUUAAUGUGUAGAUAUUGUUCUGACAUGUCGGGGCAUGAUAUUGAGAAAUAUUGGUAUUUGAAAAGAGCCAUCCAGGAUCUGAUCAACACAAAUCAGAUUAUGAUACCAACCCCAGAGAUUCCAAACAUCAACCAAAAUCCAUUGCCAGCCCAAGUUGAAACAAAUAUGAUGGAGUUGAUAUAUGGUGGCAAAGAGUUGUUGAUGUGUUACAAUCCUAUUGUUAGAAUACAAACUAAUGAGGAUAAAUCGUUAAAUAUGGCGGAUUCAUUGAAGGCGAUGUCAUUGAGCCAAGAAGAAACGGUGGAAGACAAAGCCCAAGAAAACACGAGCAAACCCGUGAUCAUUGUAAAAGAUGUCAGAAAAAUUGGUGUUUAAAGUCAGGACAAACCCAAGUUAACGGUAGUAGGAGCUCCGAGCAAGCUUAUUUUGAUGGUAAAAGGAGUACUUGUAGCACCUAAUGUCAUCAAGUCGGUGACCCAACUCUCAUUAGUCGAUACAAAAAGGGUCCCCUAGAGGUAUAAUCAGACUAUGGUGACUUAUCAGGGGAAGAAAAUCUUGGAAGAAGUAGAUGAGGUAGGGUUUUGACUCUUUCAAGGAGAUAUUUUGUGCUAGAAGGGUUGAGAAAGUCUAAACCAAUGAUGAAUGGGCAAUCAUCUUAAAAAAGCCUAUCACCAAAGAAGAAGCUGAAGAAUUCUUGAAGAAUUUGAAAUUGCUAGAAUAUUUAAUCAUAGAUCAGUUGAAGAAGACUCCUACUCAAAUUUUCUUUAUAUCUUUGUUGUUAUAUUCUGAGGAACAUCGUAAUGUUAUAUUGAAGGUGUUGAAUGAAGCUUAUGUUCCUAAGGAAAUUACGGUGAAUCAGUUGGAUAAAAUUAUUGGAAAGAUCUUUGAGGUGAAUCGAAUUAGCUUUUCCAAAUGAUGAACUGUCUGUAGAAGGUAUAGGGCAUAACCGAGGACUUUACAUUACUAUGAAAUGUGAAAAUUUCUAUAUCACACGUGUCAUGAUUGAUGGAGGUUCUGGAUCUAAUAUUUGUCCUAUGUCCACCUUGCAAAAGUUGAAUAUCAGUUUCGAGAGGAUUCGACCCAAUAAUGUAUGUGUCAGAGCUUUUAAUGGAGCAAAAACAGACUCCAUUGGUGAAAUAGAUCUAAUACUAACUAUAGGGCCUAUUGAAUUCUCCAUAGAGUUCCAAGUAUUGAAUAUCGACGCCUCUUACAAUUUAUUAUUGGGAAGACCAUGGGUUCAUAAGGUUGGGGUGGUUGCAUCUACAUUGCAUUAGAUGAUCAAGUCUGAGCAUGGCAACCAAGAAGUAGUUAUUUAUGGUGAAGGGGAUUUUUCCAUCUCCAAAGACUCUUCCAUGCCUUUUAUUGGAGCAAAUAAUGUAGAGGAAACAUUUGUCUAUCAAUCUUUCGAUAUAAUGCUGGUAGAUCAUAUCUUCGAAGGGCAGGUUAUACCAGGGCCACAGUUAUCUUCUACUUCUGUCAUGAUGGUAAAUGAGAUGUUGAAAUAUGGAUUUGAGCCAGAAAAGGGUUUACGGGUGUCUCUACAUGGUAUAGUUCAUCCUAUAUGCCCGAGUGAGAACAUGGGCACUUUUGAUCUAGGAUUCAAACCUACAGUUGAAGAUUGGAAAAAGGCCAGGAAAAGGAAGAAGGAAACGUUGUCACUCCCUUACCCAGUGUCGCUACUCAGUAAGUCGUUUGUCAAGAGCAGUGUCAUAAAGCUAUAGAGUUCAAAGCUGAGUUAGUUGAUGACUUCCAAAACCUGUUGGUUAAAGUUGAUAGGGUUAAAGUGGGAGAAGGUACCAGCAAGGUAGAUGCGCAGUUCAUAAGUCCUGAUGUUCGACUCAACAAUUGGGAAGUUACUACUUUCCCCAUCAAGAGGGAGUUUUGGUAGUUUGUCUUGUUUUUCUUUCUGUUUAUCCAAGUUAUUUCAGGGUUGUAAUUUGGAAUUUAUCUUGUUUAUGUUCUGUUUUCAUUUAUGUCUAAACCCUUCUAUCUUUUCUUUUAAAUGAAACGCAAUGUCCCUUUUGUUUUAUGUCUACUAUAUCUUGUUUGUCUUUUUUCCUUAUACAGUUCUCUUUAUGUUGAUUCUAGUGAUAUGACAUGCAUGCAGAAUUUUUAGACUGAUCUUAAAAUCCAAUCUAAUCAAGAUAUAAUGAAGCAAGAGGUGGAAUAUGAUGAAGAAGAGGCAUUUGAGGAAGUAAGCAAAGAAUCAAAACAGUUUGAAGAUAAGGCGAACCAUAAUUUGAAUAAAACUGAGCCAAUUAAUCUAGGAGAUCAAGGAGAUAUUAAGGAAACUAAAAUAAGUGUACAUGCUUUGCUACAUCUAAAAGUGGGAAUGAUUCAAGCAUUAAUCGGUUGUAAAGAAGUUUUUGCAUGGUCUUAUGAUGAUAUGCCUGGUUUAAGCACUGAAUUAGUGGCUCAUAUAUUGGCAACUGAUCCUUCAUUCUCUCUUGUCAAACAGAAGUUGAGAAAAUUUAAAACUGAUGUAAGUAUAAAAAUCAAAGAGGAAAUCAUGAAACAACUUGAGGCCAAAGUCAUUUGAGUGGCCCAUUAUCCUACUUGGUUGUCCAAUGUUGUUCCUGUUCCAAAGAAAGAUGGCAAGAUUUGAUUAUGUGUUGAUUAUAGGGAUUUGAACAAAGUAAGUCUGAAGGAUAAUUUUCCACUGCCCAAUAUCCAUAUUUUUCUUGAUAAUUAUGCUAAACAUGAGGUAACAUCUUUUGUGGAUUGCUAUGCUGGGUACUAUCAAAUCAAUAUAGAUGAUAAUGAUGAGGAAAAGACAUCUUUUAUCACACCAUGGGGAACUUAUUAUUACCGAGCGAUGCCGUUCGGCUUGAAGAAUGUUGGAGCAACAUACAUGAGAGCAAUGACCACUAUAUUUCAUGAUAUGAUGAUGUAGAUGAUGUGAUUAUUAAGUCAAAGAAUCAGUCUGACCAUGUUAAGGAUCUAAGGAAGUUCUUUGAAAGGCUUCGCAGGUACAAUCUCAAACUUAAUUGGAAAAUAUGUAUUUGGAGUGACGUCUGGAAAGCUGUUGAGGUUUGUAGUUAGUCCGUCGGGGUAUUGAAUUGGAUCCUUCAAAGAUAAAGCGAGAUUUGUCGUCGUCCAAGAACAGAACAUAGGUAAUGAGUUUGCUUGAUAGAUUGAACUACAUCAGUAGGUUCAUUGCUCAACUCACAACCAUUUGUGAGCCCAUAUUCGAGUUACUGAAGAAGAGUGUUACAGUGGAGUGGACUGAGGAAUAGCAGGAAGCAUUUGAUAAAAUAAAAAAAUAUCUGUCUAAUCCACUUGUGUUGGUACCACCGGAUCCUGGUAGGCCUUUAAUCUUGUAUUUAUCAAUUAUGGACAACUCCUUCAGUUGUGUCUUGGGUCAACAUGAUGUCACGUGUAAAAAGGAGCAAGUUAUUUAUUAUCUUAGCAAAAAGUUCACAACAUAUGAAGUCAGGUACACUCUUCUUGAAAAGACGUGUUGUGCCCUAACUUGGGUAGUGCAGAAAUUGAAGUAUUAUUUUUCAUCCUACACUAAUUAUCUCAUCUACCGCAUGGAUCCUUUAAAGUAUAUCUUUCAAAAGCCUAUGCCAACAUGUCAAUUGGUGAAGUGGCAAAUAUUGCUUACCGAGUUUGACACUGUAUAUGUGACUCGAACAGCCAUGAAAGCCCAAUCCUUGGCAGAUCAUCUUGCUAAGAACACCAUUGAUGAAGAAUAUGAACCAUUAAAGACAUAUUUUCCUGAUGAAGAGGUGUUGUGUGUCGGUGAAGUCAUUAUAGAUGUUGAUCCAGGUUGAAAGAUGUUCUUUGAUGGAGCUGUUAACAUGAAAAGAGUAGGAAUAGGUGAGUACUGAAUAAAAAAUUAACAUAACACAUGUGCGGAAGAUAAACUCAGAAGGUAAUGCAAAUCCGAAUACUAAAAUACCAAAUCAAUCAUAAGUUUGAAACAUCUAGUAAAGUACUAAAAACCAAACUGUCUAGCUGAAACAACUGAUAAGACUGAUAAAAACUGACUAAUUGUCUAAUUGACUGUCUGAUUGUCUGAAAACCUCUAAACUGACUAAGAAUUUGAUGGGACAUGUGCCCAACUAACUUCGACUGACUGAAAAUAUAGAAUACUGAGAUAACUAAAUAAUCAUAAUAUGUCCUCGAUGGAUGAGACCACUAUGUCUGUUGAAUUAUGCUGAAUUGUCUAACUGUGGUCGAGAUAUUGUGCAUCUGAACUUAUGAUAUAAGACAUCAUAGCACAAAGAAGAGUAUAGUCAGUACUUUAAAUAUACUGGUAUAUGAGAUAGGGACUAGCUGAUAUGCACGGGGUAUUAUGCAAAUGAAAUAAGGAAUAACUAAAUAGCAUGAGAUAACUGAACAUGAAUGCAUGAAAACUGUAACAUCUGAGAAUUCAAGACCAAGCAUACACAUAUAUCUGAAAUAAUUUGUAAAUUGAAGGACUGAAAUCUGAUAACUCAAUAACUGAGAAUUUGUAUGCUUUGGUCAAACAAACCUGAACUGAAACUAUACUGAAUAUUGCACUGAGACUGUGGGAGGCAUCAUUUAACCAACAUGCCCCAAUCUAAGCUAAUCGCAGUCCAACCUGUAACCCCAGUUGGAAGAGUGUCAAUAUCAUGCCACGGGUACUAACAUUGGCUGUGUAGAUCCACUAAACUGGUGUCCCGAAGGACUAAGGAGUCACCCUCAACUGGCAGGUGCUCCAAUGAGAUAUGUGUCACCCUACACCUUGUCAACCCUCAAUUGGCAGGUAGACAUCUCUAAGCUACGCUGGCUGCGUAGUUCUGUAACUUGGGGAUUUCUACUAAGGGUCACACCCUCUACUGUCAGGUGAGCCCUUAUCCUUGAGUUUACUCAGUGUUAAAUCCUACUUAUAACUGAACUAACACUGAUACUGGAAUGGACUUAACUAGACUAAACAUUAUUACAUAACUUAUGGUGCUCAUCAUGAUCAUAAACAUAUAAGUAUACUGAUAAGAGUCAUGGAUUAACUGUCUGAGUACUUGAAAAGCUGAAUUUAUGUAAAACACAUAGGUAUUGGGUGUUCAUAACCCACCAGCACUGAAUGAAUAUAAGUAUGAAAUAUCAAACUUGAAAGAUAGUAAUACUUGAUUCUAGUUUAAAACCCCAAACAUGGCAGUUCAUCAAAACAGGUGAAAAUCAUAAACUUAAACAUGAGAAUAUCUUAAACAUGAGGAAACAAUAGGAUUUUAUGGCUAAACUCAUAACUUGAGGAUUCAUCCUAAAACCAAUUGAACAUGACAUAGAAAUUUCAAUACUCAAACAUGAUAUGAUUAAUUCUACUUGAAAAUACUUGUAACCAUAACUUGUAAUUGAAUUAACAAGAGAUUCAUGGAGUUAGUUCAACUUGAACAUUUAAAACUCAUAAUUUAAAACACCAAAAAGGGUUCUUGGACUCCAUGAGUGAAAGGAACCCAUGGAUGAACAUGACACAUACCUUAAUGGCUGAAAUCUUGAAGAUUGCUUGAACUUAAGAGCUUGAACCCUUGUGUUCUUAAGAUGAAAGUAAGGGUUUGUUCUUGGGGAAAAAAGGGUUUCUUAAGAGAGUUUAUGAGUAAAAGGGAAAAUAAUGCUCCUUAGGGACUCAAAUUUCAUGUUAUGGAUGAGUUGGAUGAAGGGGAAAUGACCCAAAUGCCCUUAAAUGACAUGGAACAAAAGUGGACAAAAAGGGGAGGGGCGAGCUCUGAAGUGGGGGACUAGGCCAGGCGGUGCCCGCCUUACCUCGAUGGACUGGACUAGGUGGCGCCCGCCUUACCUUGGUGGACUAGAACAGGUGGCGCCUGCUUAUCCCAAUGAUGCUACUGUUUUGGUUUUCCAAACACGCCCCUACAUACAUUUAAAAUAACAUACUUUGAACCACCCCGAUCAUGAAUCAACUCAAAAAAUGAGAUCCGAGGUAGGGAAGACCAAAAAUAAAAUCAUUGAAGUUUAGGGGCCUUGGAAAUGACUAAGUCCUCAACACUUAGUAAAAUUUCUAAGUCUUAGACCCCUUUCAACAUGAAAUCACGAGCUGAAUUGAGCUAGGAUCUUAUAGGGCAUUACAAUAUCUCCCCCUUAGGAAAAUUCAUCCUCGAAUAAGGCUGGUUAGACUGAGACUACUGAGGAAAUUGGGGUCAUAUACUAAACAUGCAUAAUUGAAAAUAUGAUUGCAUAACUGAGUCUGAAGCAUGAUACAUAAGCUAAACUAGUUUCGUGAAUGCAUGAAAUGACAUGAGGAUGGAUAUAUAGAUGAAACAGGGAACUGGAAAGAAUCAAUUUAAAGAAAAUUGUUACUUUAAGUUGAAUCUGAGUUUGCGGAGAAAAAAUGAGGGUACUUGGUUCGCAUAUUUGUUUCUGCUUCCCAAGUGGCUCCCUCAACGGAUUGAUUCCGGCAAAGAACUUUGUCCAAGGGAACUUCUUUGCUCCUUAGUCUAUGAAACUGACGAUCAAGGAUCUCAACUGGGACUUCUUCGUAAGAAAGGCUAACAUGAAUAUCCAUACUUUUUAAUGGAACAACAACAGCUGAAUCACCAAUAUACUUCUUCAACAGGGAAACACGAAACAUUGGAUGCACUGAUGUUAAAUCUGCAAGCAACUCAAGCUAAUAAGACAUCUUUCCAAAAUGACCCAAGAUUUUUAACGAGCCAACAUAUCGGGGACAGAGUUUCCCCUUCCUGCCAAAUCUCAACACUCUCUUCAUGGGAGAUAUUUUUAAAUAGACUAAGUCAUCAACCUCAACCUCAAGAUCUUUUUUCCUCACAUCUGCAUAAGAUUUCUGAUGGCUUUGGGCAGUCUUCAGCCUCUCUCUAAUUAACUAAACCCUCUUCAUUACCUCAAACACUGAAUUUGGCCCUACCACUGUAGCCUCGCCUGCUUUAAACCAACCAAUAGGAGAUUUACAUCUGCUUCUAUAGAGAUCCUUAAACGGAGCUAUCUGAAUACUGGAGUGAUAGCUGUUGUUAUAGGCAAACUCAAUCAAAGGUAAAUAGUCAUCCCAACUACCUUUAAAGUCAAUGACACAAGACCUUAACAUGCCCUCUAAGGUUUGAAUAGUCCUCUCUACCUGACCAUCUGAGGAUAAAAAAUUAUACUGAGAUGAACUUGGGUACCCAAACCCUUCUGAAAAGCCUUCCAAAAGUGAGAGGUAAACUGAGUACCUUUAUCUGAAAUAAUAGACAAUGGAAUUCCAUGCAACUUAACCAACUCCCUAAGGUAAAGUCUAGCAUAAUCCUCAGUUGAGUGCGAAAUAUGAACUAGUAAGAAAUGAGUUGAUUUGGUCAUUCUGUCUAUAAUACCCAUAUCAAAUCAUACUGACGAUGAGUACGAGGCAACCCCAUCAUAAAAUCCAUGUUUACCACUUCCCACUUCCAAGUGGGGAUGCUGAACUCCUGUAAUAUACUACUAGGCCUCUGUUGCUCAACUUUAACUUGCUAACAAUUAGAAUACUUAGCUACAAACUCUGUAAUAUCUCUCUUCAUACCACUCCACCAAUAGACUUACCACAAAUUGCGAUACAACUUAGUGGCUCUUGGUGUAUAGAGUAAGGCGUACCAUGCACUUCUACGAGAAUUCACUGCCUCAAACCAUCAACACACGAAACCACAGCCUACCCUGACAAUACAACACACUAUUUCUCUCUUGGGAAAAAACCUCUAUCUUCUGAUCUCUAACUGAUUCCUUCAAAUUAACCAAACUAGGAUCCCUAUCGUGCUUUUGUUUUACUUCAGCAACCAAUGAAGAUUCUGAACUAUUCUGAACCCAUACACUACCUUCAGCUGAAUCAACCAACCGAACACCUAAUUUACCAAGUUAAUGAACCUCCCUGACUUACUUGUUCUUAUUCUCAUCAACAUGGGCAACACUACCCAUAUACAAUCUACUCAGGGCAUCUUCCACUACAUUGGCCUUACCCGGAUGAUAAAACACACUCAUAUCAUAAUCUUUUAACAACUCAAUCUAUCUUCUCUGAUGAAGAUUCAAAUCUUUCUGUGAGAACACAUAUUGUAAGAUUUUGUGAUCCGUGAACACAUCAAUACGAACUCUAUAAAGGUUAUUCCUCUAAAUUUUUAAGGCAAAGACAAUAGUUGCCAACUCAAAAUCAUGAGUAGGAUAAUUAUUUUCAUAGGGUUUAAGCUGUCUAGAGGCAUAGGAUAUGACCUUACCUCUUUGCAUCAAAAUACAACCCAGACCAACUCUGGAAGCAUUAUAGUAAACUAUAAAUCCAUCCAAACCAUCUGGUAAGAUCAAGACUGGGGAUAAGGUGAGAUGAGUCUUCAACUCCUGAAAACCCUUCUCGUAGGAAUAUGACCACUAAAAAUUUCACUUUCUUCUGAGUCAAUUGGGACAUGGGGAAGCAAUAUAAGAAAACCCUUCAACAAACCAUCCGUAAUAGCCCGUUAAACCCAAGACACUUCUAAUAUCUAAUGGAGAGAUAGGUCUAGGCCAGUUUCUCACUACUUUGGUCUUUUGAGGAUCAACUCUAAUGCCAGCACCAAAAAUAAUAUGGCCAAGGAAAUCUAUUUUAUCUUAGCCAAAAUUCGCACUUACUAAAUUUGGAAAACAACUGAUGGGCUCUAAGAUUCUACAAUACAAUUCUGAGAUAGUCUGCAUGAUCAUUCUCAUAAUGGGAAUAGACAAGAAUAUAAUCAAUAAAGACUAUGAAGAACAUGUCCAAGUAUUGCUUAAACACUCUGUUCAUCAGUUCCAUGAAAGCUGUAGGGGCAUUCGUUAGUCCUAAAUGCAUAACUAGAAAUUUGAAGUGGCCAUACCGAGUUCUGAAAGUUGUCUUUGGAAUGUCACAUUCUCUGACUCUAAGCUGAUGAUAGAUGGAUUUGAGGUCUAUCUUAUAAAAAUAACUAUCACCCUAAAGUUGGUCAAACAAGUCAUCAAUUCUUGGGAGUGGGUACUUAUUCUUGACUGUGACUUUGUUCAACUGACGGUAAUCAAUGCACAUCCUGAGAAAACCAUCUUUCUUACGCAUGAACAAGAUUGGAGCACCCCAUGGAGAAACACGGGGCCUGAUGAAAGAAUUAUCUAAGAGAUAUUUCAACUAUUCUUUCACUUCCCUAAGCUCAGCUAGAGCCAUUCUAUAGGGUCGAAUAGAGAUAGACUGGGUAUCUAGAAGGAGAUCUAUUGUAAUACCCCAAAAAAUCCAAACCAAUAUUAGAGACAUGUACCAAGCUCAUGCAUAGUACAUCAUGGUUAUUUUAUAGUUUUAUGACUAAUUUAUAUGUGUAUUAAGGCUUCAAAUAACUCCCAACUAUCAGAUGAAUCAAAAUAUUCCUUACCGAUUGAAUUCUUGAGAAGGAUAUGGUAUAAUCAACUUCAAAUGAGCAUAUCUCUCAUUAUACUUGGAAUUUUUUAUCUCAUGACCUAUCAAAAUAUAUAUAAUUGAAUUAUCUUUAUAACGAUACCAAUUUUGCCUAAAUUUGAUAUUGGAGCACAGAGUUAUUCCUAUUUUACUCUAGCAUGUCAGGCUGGAAACAGUGUGACAAUAUUUGUGGUAGCUUACCACAUUUGUGACGCACUAUCACGAAGGUUGUCAGCCUUAGGAAAAAAUCAGAUCCUAAGUGACGACAUUCGUGGUAGCUUACUAUAUUUUUUAUGCCAUGUCACAAAUGUCGUCAGCCUUAGGCAAAAUAUAGCUUGUGUGAUGACAUUUUUUACGACUUACCACAUUUUUGACGCCAUGUCAAAAAUGUCGUUAGCCUUAGGCAGAAUUCAGCUUCUGUGUGACGACAUUUUUGAUGUCUUACCACAUUUUUGACGUCAUGUCACAAAUGUUGUCAACCUUAUGCAGAAUCCUGAUUCUAUGUGAUGACAUUUUUUACGGCUUACCAUAUUUUUUAUGCCUCAUCACAAAUGUCAUCAACUAUUAUCUUCAGCAACUAGGAAUUUAUUUCAUGAGGGUAUUUUGGUCUUUUUCCUUCACUUCCCAUGACUUAUAACCCUAAAGGCAUAAUUUUUCCCAUUUUUCUUCAGUUAAGCAUCUCAAAAACCCUCUCUUACGCUUUCAAACACAAGAUUAGGGUUUCCAUCAAACUCAUCUCUCAAAAGCAAGAUUCAAGCCUUUUUCCAAGAUAAUCAAAAAUUAAGUUUCCCAAUCCAAGAACUCUCCAGCAAAUCAUCAAGGUUUCCUUUCUAAGGUAUGCGUAGUGUUCAUCUAUGGAUCCAAUCCGUUCAUAGAGCUUAAGAACCAUGUUGUAAAUACUAUUUUGUGAACUUUUUGUGGUGAUAUGAGUAUGUACAUGUUGAUGAUUGUUGUUUAAGUUUCAAGAUGAUAUCUAGCGGUGUUUUCAUGGAAUAUAUAUGCUUGUUAGUUGAAAACUAUGAACCUUAGAUGGUGUAAAAUGGUACAAGUUAUGAAACACACCUAUGCCUUAAAGAUUGCAUGCAAGGUGUUUGAUAAAAUGCUUAGAAUGCUGAAAUUUAUGUUUAUAUGGUUCCAUGAUGUCUAAAUGACAAGUCCAUGUUAGCUAUAUGCUUUAGUAUAAAUUUCGUGCUUUUCAUGUGCUGCUAUUGUUGUGGUAUGAAGCAUGUAUGAUAAUGGAGAUAUACAAUAUGCACAUGAAAUAUAGCUAUGCACUCCCUACCAUGAUUAAUAUGUCGAGGAACUACAUGAAGUAUAAUAUCCCCUACUUAUGAUAAUGUGAAUUGUGGACUCCAAUCUUAUGAUCAAGUCAGUCAUGUUGUGACAGUUUCCUUCCAUCGAGUCCUGGGGGUAUUCGUACCCGAAAAUAUAGUUGUGUGCCUAGAGACAUGUCAUGUUAUCACGACACUCUCAGUCAAGCCAUGAUCUAUAGAAUUCAGUUAGUCAUAUGACUCAGGAAAAUCUAGUAACCUCAGUAAUCUCAGUAGUUCAGUAAUCUCAGUUAUCUCAAUACUCAGUAAUAUCUGUAACCUCAGUAUUCAAAGUCAAUCUUAGUAACUCAUUACUCUCAACCAGUCCUCAGAACUCAGUAUCUUCCGUCAGUCAUCAGAAUCCAGUAAACUCAGUUUUAGCUCUGCUAAAUAAUACCACUAUUUUCAGUUCAGUUAAUCAGUAUCAGUUCAGCAAAUCAGUUCAGUUAAGUUAUUUAGUUUAGCCUAGUUAUUCAGUUUAGUAGCUUUUAGAUGGGAGUAGGAUUCAGCACUGAGCGAACCUAGGGAUGGGGGUUCACCCGCUAAAGUAGGGCUGAGAUCCCUAGAAGCAAUCCCUAAGUUCCAAAACUACGUAGCCAGCAUAGGUACGAGAUGCCACCCGUUAGAUAGGACUGACAUACUCAGGGGUCACCCGUUAGUACAUUUAUAUGUAUAGGACUAAUCCCAAGAGUCAACCGCUAGAUUAGGACUGACUCCACAGCAGAUGUCUUUACUGGUGGCGCGGUACUGACGCCCUUCCAGUCAGGGCAGAGAUUGGACCCCAGUCAGCUUAGCUUGGGGCAUGUCGGUUAUAUGAACACAUCCCACAGUUUCAGUUAUAGAUUCAGGACUGUCAUAUAUAGUCAACUCAGUUUAGUAGUACAGAUUCAGUACUGUUAGAUACAGUCAAUGCUUAUCAUUGUAAAUAGACUUCAAGAUCCCCCAUUAGCUAGGACCGAUCUCAACUAUGAUUAAUCAGUAUCAAAAUCAUUAGAUUUAAAGAUCACCCGCUAGAUAGGACUGAUCUCAGACUAAGUCAAAUCAUCCUUAUUAUUAGUAUGCUCAUGAUCAACCGCUAGAUAGGACUGAUCUCAGAUUUAGUUAUUCCAAGUAGAACGGAACUCAGAUAAUUCCAUCAAAACUUAGACUGUUAAAUACAGUCGCUCAGUAUUAGUUACAUCGGUUAGGAUGAUCAUCAUAGUUAUAUCAGUUAUAUUAGUUUUUUGAACUCAUAUAUCAGUCAUAUCAGUUAUCAGAAUUCAUAAUAUCAGUAAUCAGCUUCAGGACUGUCAGACACAGUCAACCAGACCAGUUUUUUAUAAUUCAAACUAUCAGAAAUAAUCGUUCAUCUAUUCAGUAUCUCAGUAUCAGUACACUCAUAUUGUCAGUAUUCAGACUCAGUAGUCAGCAUCUUCACGAGUUCAGUUACAAUUAUGUAUGCAUGUAUGUAUUCUCGCAUUCAUAUUACUCAGCAUUGUUCAUGCAUAUAACCCUUUGAAUUUAGCCUACCUCACUCGUAUACUCAGUAAAUUCAGACGUACUGACACAUUUGUGCUAUGGUUCUUUCUCUUAUGUUACACCAUAGGUUCAGAGGCACGAGCUCUAGAUCAGUAGUAGCAUUCCAGUAUUCAGAGUUUGCAGUGAGUCUUUUUCAUUCAAGGACAGUAUGAUUGUUGCUUCAUUUGUUGUUUUAGUUUAGUUACUAGAUGGAUUUAGUUGGGGACAUGUCCCAUCAACUCCUUAUUUUGACAGUUUAGAGGCUUUCCAGACUAUAGCAUGUCGGACAGUUAUUUUAGAUUUGUUUUGGUAUUAUUACACCAUUUUCAGAUGUUUAUUCACAUUUGAACCUUAUGGCCAUUCAAUACAUGUUUCCACAUUUUCAUGUUAUAUUAUACAGUGUACAGGUAUAGAUAUCAGUCAUGGGUUAGCUUGUGGUCCUUCGGGGUCAUGAGCACCGUGUAGUAUUUCAGUUCAGAAAAUUGGGGUGUUACAUCUAUUCCGAUGUUAAUUUCCCUUUUGGGAGAAACUUCGAGAAGGUCUUCAGGGAACACAUCUGGAAAUUCCCUUACUACUAAAACUGACUCGAGACAUGGAGUUUCAAGACUGGAGUCUUUGACUCAAAUAAGAUGAUAAACACACCCUUUAGAUAUCAUUUUUCUUGCCUUAAGAUAGGCAAUGAUCUGACUCCUAAGCAAAGAGGUAUUGCCCCUCCAUUUAAUGAUUGGUUCAUUGAGAAACUAAAAUUGAAUGAUUCUAUUUCUACAGUCAACUGAAGCAUAGCAUGAGUGAAGCCAAUCCAUGCUGAGAACAACAUCAAAAUCAGUUAUCUCUAACUUUACAAGAUUAGCUGAGGUGAAUUUUUGGGAUACUGUGAUUGGGCAAUUUUUGUAUACCCGUCUAGCUAUAAUAGAUUUACCCACUAGGGUAGACACUGAGAAAGGUUCUGCUAAAUUUUUGGGACUAGCAUCAAAAUUGAUCGCUAUAUAAGGAGUCACAAAAAAGUGAAGCUUCGGGAUCUGAUAAAUCAUAAAUAUGAAGAUGAAAGACCUGUAACAUACCCGUAACCACAUCAAGAGAACUCUCCUAAUUCUGUCGAGUUUGAAGAGCAUACAACAUGUUCUGAUACUGCCCAUUAGUUAUGCUGGAAGCGGUACCCUAUUGAGUCAAGCGAUCGGCUGGAACUGAAGGACGAUUAGACUGACCCUACUGGCUGGCCUUUAGGCAAUCUCUGACUCUAUGGCCUGGCUUGCCAAAUCCAAAACACACAUCACUGCCAGCUCUACACACACCCUGAUGAUGCCUGCCAUAUUUCCCAUAAAGUGGAUUAGUACGAACAUUGUUCACACUACCCUAGGACUUGGAGACUGGCACUCUAUCCCGACUAUCUUUCCUAAACUUAGGCACUGGUACACUAGCUGAAGAUGGGGUUGGGGCUGAGGAAUUCUAUCAGAAUUGAGAACGAUUACCACCCUCUAACCUCAGUUGAGAAAAAGUUAAAACUACCCAUUCUGGCCUUUUUAUUCUCUCUCUCCUUCUCCUUACGCUUCUCUUCCUCAAUUUACUGAGCAUGAACCAUAGAUAAGCCCAUCUCCUUAAUUAACAUUGCAGUCCUACACUCUUUGACCACACUAUCAGAUACCCUAAAUACAAACUUACUUAUUCUAGAAUUGUUAUCAGCCACCAUCGAAGGAGCAUACCUCGCUAAUUGAGUAAACUUAAGUGAGUACUUCUUCACACUCAUACUACUCUACUUCAAGUUAAUGAACUCCUGAAUCUUAGCCUCCCUUAACUCUAAUGGGAAGAACCUAUCAAGAAAAGUCAUGGCAAGCUCUUCCCACUCAACUGGCCCUGAUAUGCAACCAACUCUGCACUCUCAGUUGAGGUGAUGCCCAUGAUAUCAGUCACCUUCUGAACCAUAUCUAGAAUUUUUUAUGGAUUCUCCUCAAACUUGGAUCCCAAAAAAGAGGGGGAUUCAUUCGGGUGAAAUCCUGUAUCCUAGCUGUAGCUAUGUUUGCAACUGGAUUAGCUGGGGAAAUAGCCUGUUGAUUGUUCUGAGCAGCUACUGAAUAAGCUAAAGUAGUGAAAACAUCUUUGAAUUCGGCAUAAGAGACAUGUUCAUUCAGGGGAUCUUCCUGAACAAAGGUCGUGUAGNNNNNNNNNNNNNNNNNNNNNNNNNNNNNNNNNNNNNNNNNNNNNNNNNNNNNNNNNNNNNNNNNNNNNNNNNNNNNNNNNNNNNNNNNNNNNNNNNNNNNNNNNNNNNNNNNNNNNNNNNNNNNNNNNNNNNNNNNNNNNNNNNNNNNNNNNNNNNNNNNNNNNNNNNNNNNNNNNNNNNNNNNNNNNNNNNNNNNNNNNNNNNNNNNNNNNNNNNNNNNNNNNNNNNNNNNNNNNNNNNNNNNNNNNNNNNNNNNNNNNNNNNNNNNNNNNNNNNNNNNNNNNNNNNNNNNNNNNNNNNNNNNNNNNNNNNNNNNNNNNNNNNNNGUGUAGGCUGAUUCCCGUUCCUUCUUUUGUUAUUUCUCUUAGGAGGUAUUAUCUGAAAAUAAAAUGAAGGAUGAGUUAGAAAAAGAGUUUAAAUAGAGCUCAUGCUCAUUCGCAUGACAUGAAUACUGAAAAAAGGUAAAACUUUUGCUAAAACAUCUUGUAGCCUCUUGUGCAUAAGUGUGGUGUGCUUCACACCCAUGCGCAAGACUCUACUCAACGCGGCUUUCAAACUACCUAGGAUACUUUAAAACUCUGGGCUCUGAUACAAAGUUUUGUCAUGACCCGAGGCUACCUCCUAGUCGCGACAACAGAGCUUACGAUAACAAGUGACCAUAAGCUGGUACCUGUUGUGAGUAUUAAAUAAAAUAUUAACAUAGCACAUGUGUUGGAGAUAAACUAAGAAAUUAUUGUAAAUCUGAAUACAGAAAUACUGAAUCAAUCAUAAAUCUGGGACAUCUGGUAAAAUACUAAAACUAAAUUCUCUAGCUAAAAUAAUUGAUAAGACUGAUAAAAACUGACUAACUUCUAACUAACUGUCUGAUUAUCUGAAAGCCUCUAAACUGACUGAGGAGUUGAUGGGACAAGUCCCCAACUAACUUCUACUGACUAAAAAUAAGGAAUACCAAGAUGACUGAAUAAUCAUAACUUGUCCUCGAUGGAUGAGGACUCACUACUAUGUCUGCUGAAUUACACUAAGUUGUCUAACUGUGGCCGGGAUACUGUGCGUCUGAACCAAUGAUAUAAGACAUCAUAGUGUAAAGAAGAGUAUAUGGUCAGUACUUUAAAUGUACUGGCAUAUGAGAUGGGGACUGGAUAAUAUGCAUGGGGUAUUGUGCAAACCAAAUAAGGACUAAUUGAAUAGCAUGAGAUAACUUAAUAUAAAUGCAUGAAAACUAUAACAUCUGAGAAUGCAAGACCAAGCAUAAACUUAUAUGUAAAAUAAUCAGUAAACUGAAGGACUGAAAUCUGAUAACUGAAUAACUGAGAAUAUGUAUGCUUUGGUCAAGCAAACCUGAACUAAAAUUAUACUGAAUACUGCGCUGAGACUGUGGGAGGUAUCAUCUAACCAACAUGCCCCAAUCUAAGCUAAUCAGGGUCCAACCUGUAACCCCAGUUUGAAGGGUAUCAGUACCGUGCCACGGGUACUAACAGUGGCUGUGUGGAUCCACUAAACUGGUGUCCCAAAGGACUAAGGAGUCACCCUCAACUGGCAGGUGCUCUAAUGAGAUAUAUGUUACCCUCAAUUGGCAGGUAGACACCUUGUCACCCCUCAACUGACAGGUAGACAUCUCUAACCUAUGCUGGCUACGUAGUUCUAUAACUCGGGGAUUGCUACUAUGGGUUACACCCUCUAUUUAUAGGUGAGCCAUCAUCCCUGAGUUCACUCGGUGUUAAAUCCUAUUCCCAACUAAACUGACACUAAUACUAGAAUGGACUGAACUAGACUAAACAUUAUUACAUAACUGAUAGUGCUCAUCAUGAUCAUAAACAAGUAUGUAUACUGAUAAGAGUCAUGGAUUAACUGUCUCAGUACUUGAAAAGCUGAAUUCAUGUAAAACACAUUGGUAUCAGGUGUUCAUAACCCACUAGCACUGAAUGAAUAUAAGUAUGUGAUAUCAACCUUGAAAUAUAGUAAUACAUGAUUAUUGUUCAAAUACCAAAACAUGGAAUUUCAUUGAAAUAUGUGAAAAUCAUAAACUUAAAUAUGAGAAUAUCUUAACUAUGAGGAAACUAUAGGAAUUUAUGGCUAAACUCGUAACGUGAGGAUUCAUCUUGAAACCAAUUGAACAUGACAUGGAAAUUUCAAUACUCAAACAUGAUAUGGUUUAUUCUACUUGAAAAUACUUCUAACUAUAACUUGUAAUUGAAUUAACAAGAGACUCAUGGAUUUAGUUUAACUUGAACAUUUAAAACUCAUAAUUUAAUACACCAAAAAGGGUUCUUGGACUCCAUGGGUGAAAGGAACCCAUGGAUGAACAUCACACAUACCUUAAUGGCUAAAAUCUUAAAGAUUACUUGAACUUAAGAGCUUUAACCCUUGUAUUCUUAAGAUGAAAGCAUGGGUUUGUUCUUGGGUAAAAAAAGGGUUUAUUAGGAGAAUUUAUGAGUAAAAGGGAAAAUAAUGCUCUUUAGGGACUCAAAUUUUGUGUUAUGGAAGAGUUGGGUGAAGGGAAAAUGACUAAAAUUCCAUUUAAAUGACAAGGAACAAAAGAUGGACAAAAGGGGAAGGGGGCGACGCAGGCUAUGGAGCGGGGAACUAGGCCAAGCGGCGCCCGCCUUACCCCGGCAGACUGGACCAGGCGGCGCUCUCUUAUCCUGGUGAUGCUACUAUUUUAGUUUUCCAACUACGCCCCUACGCUCGUCUAAAAAUUCUGAAACUCUUUUGAGAUAUACUUUGACCCACCCCAAUCAUGAAUCAACUCAAAAAUCAAUAUCUCAGGGUCAGGAAGACCAAAAAUAAAAUCAUCAAAGUUUAGGGGCCUUGGAAAUGACUAAGACCUCAAUACUUAGUGAAAUUUCUAAAUCUUGGACCCCCUUCAACAUACAAUCAUAAGAUGAAUUGAACUAGGAUCUUACGGGGUAUUACAUAUGGUAACCACCUCCUAUGUAUUAUUUUGGACUAAAGCAUCAAUCUAUGUUUGCAUGGCAUAGAUCUAUAUAGGAUCUUUUAAUGAAGCUUCAUAAGAAUCAGGUCCAGUUUCAGAAGAAACAAUAGCCAAAAAAGUAUAAUAGAUAGGUGAAAUGGAGGAAUAGCUAAGAUACUUAGAGAUAGGAUAAGAGCAUGUAGUAUUCCUUUUUGCUGAGUAAACAAAAUCUUAAAGCCACGUUGGAGUUUUAGUACCUCUUGUGAACUUUUUCAAUUGAGCUGCAUAAAUAACAGAUGAGGUGCCUGAGUAGAAGCAUGAGGGAUAAGAGUUGUAUGAUCAAUAUCAUAAAAAUAACUGGUUGAAACUUCAACAGCAUCAACUAGCUCAUCUAGUGAAGAAUUUAUAGCAACAGAAGAUGGAGCAGGAAAACUAGUUUGAUCACUACGUAUAUCAACAAACACUGGAUUACUGAUGCCACUUGACACAGCCUGUAAUUGGGCCUUGUCGUAUGGGCACCUCAAUCCCAACAAGGACCAAAGAUUGCCCCGUUAACCCAAUCUAACCAUCAUAUCAACACUCAAGUGUCAGAUGGAGUCCGUCUAUAAAAUAAGAUUAACAAAAACAAAACUACAAUCAUAGCUUAUGGAGCAUCUAAUAAAUCCAUUAAAAUCAACAACUAACCAACAUACCCAAGUCCAUAGUCAUCUGUAAAGCCUCUACAAAAUUGAUGUCUACAAUAUGUUGGUACAUGCCCCCGAUAAUAGCCAGAACCAAGUCUAAAACAAGUCUAAUACAUAAGAUAAAAGACUAUAAAAAAUAUUCCUUCAAAUAAUGGAAGCUCACCACUUCAAUGUCAAUACACAAUUCGCUCGAACACCUGGUCACUGCACAGGAAAAGAAGAAGAAGAAGAAGAAGAAGAAGAAGCUCUGGCCCCUAUGCCACGUAAGGACAAAGCGUCCAGAGAUGGUUAGUUAUUGGAGCACUAGCAUGUACUCAAGGGUAAGAAUAAAAUAGUGUAGCCAUUCAAAACCAAGUCAAACUAUCACAUCCAACCGUAUUUAUGUCAAUAUAGUUAUAUAGAAAGAUACACAUAUACAUAAAGGUACAUAAUGUGCCAAAACAAGGAAUAAGUCAUAACAUGCGUUCUCAAAGUAAUUCAAUUAUGAGACACGGUGUGAAGGACUCAAACCUCUUAUCCUUAUAGAUUAGAAAAUUAAACUUCUCUGUUACAUUAGGCAAGAGGACCCAAACCUCAAGCCAUCUUAUUUCAUAUGGCAAGUGGACCUUAACCGCAAGUCAUUACAUCUUAAAUGAUAAGUGGACACUAACCACAAAUAGUCUCAUCGUAUAUGGUAAGUGGACACUAACCACAAACCAUCUCAUUUGGCAAGUGGACCCUAACCACAAUCCUUCUUGUAUGGAAAGUAGACCUUAACCACAAGCCUUCAUAUGUAUGGCAAGUGGAAAUUAACCACAAGUUGUCAUCUCUUUUAUGGUAAGUGGACCUUAACCAUAAACCGUCACAACCAUUACUAGUCAACAAUUAGGACUCUAACCCUUUAUCAAUGCAUUAACACCCACUCAAUCCAACACAUAAGGACUUUAACCUAUUUAGAUAAUUCAAGCCACCAAUCCACAAUUUAAUAUUUCAUGUACGACUACACGAUCUUUAUAAAACAAUUUAACAACCAAUUAUUUAACUAGUCCAAUGCCUUAGUUCAUACCACAAUGCAAAUUCAUUCAUGGUCGUCAAGACCCUUACAAACCACUCAUUCUUCAUUAGCACUCUUAUACCAAAUUUUAGUUCAAAACACAAUUCAAUUCCAUGCUUAGGGACUCCAACCUUUUUAGUUUUCAUACCACCAAAGUCACCAAAUUAAUUUAUUACAUGGACAUCAAGGCCAUCACAUAUCCAUUUACCAAGAAUUCACAUUCAUUAUGCCAAUGUCAUAGUUCAUUCAUACUCAUUAGACCUAUGUCAUAGUUCAAUGCACCAUUAACAAGUGGCUAGUUAUUUCUCAUAGACAUUUUCAUAAACACCUUGAGAGCAUACAUUUAUUAAGACCAAAACCAAAGUACAAAUCAUCAAAUCUAGAUUUAAUCAUGACCCUUUUGUCAAACCACCAUCAACAAGCACCCACAUAUGUAAUUCAUCCCCAUAAACAUAUAUAAACACAAAUUUAAGCAAGAGUAAAUAAUACCCAACACAAUGAAUCAAACCCUCAACAUUUGUUUCAAAAACCACCAUUAAAGAUUCAUAGACAAUGUUUAAAUAAAAUAAUAUUUGAGAAAUAACAAUGAGUGAAGAGUCACAUGCCUUAUACAAGAUGAUUCAUGGAAGGAACUUAAUCCCUUUAGCCUCUAAAAGAACACCUCUUCAAACCCUAGCCUCCAAUCCUCAAGAGUGAGGUAGAGAGUGUUUUUAGUGAGUUUUAAUCUUACAAAAUAUGUUAUGAGAAGCUAUAACAUGUUACAUAGUGAGGGGACUUAAGGGUUUUGGGGUGGGAAAUGUCCAUAGUGUCCUCAAGUUAAAAGCUGAAAAUAAACGCCGGGGAAAUACCUUAGGGUAUGAGUGGUACCCUAAAUCAUACCCUAGGUCUCCCAUGGACCCCUAAACUAUCCCACAUAUGACUCUACUAGCAUGACUCAUACCCUAAGGUAUGAGAAGUACACUUACCCAUACCCUAACUCGUAUCCUAAGCAGGAUACUUUGGUCAAGACUUAUGGCAUCAUAUGAAUUGGUAACCUAUGACUUGUACCCUAAUAUAAGAGUUGGACCUUGCACAGACUACUCCUCAACUUACACUGUCUAACAUACGAGAGGGGGAACAAAGUUGUGUCCUAGGGUAUGACUAGUACCCUUGAGUCAUACCAUGGACAGAAUAUCCAUGACCCAAGAAUUUUUGCAAGGCCAAAGUUUUGGGUGUUUCACCACUAUUCUUCAUCAAUAAAAAAUGAAAUAUGUGUUCCUUAAAAAUAAUAUAUCUACUAAAAAAAAUCUUCUUUAACUUAAAAUCAUAAAGUCUAUAUCCUUUUGUGUAUUUGAGUAGCCUAUAUGCACAGCAGGCAUAGCUCUGGGUUGAAACUUAUCUACCUUUUCUGUAAUAGUAGUAAAACAUAAGCAACCAAGGACUCUCAGAUGGUACAUAAGCAACCAAGGACUCUCAGAUGGUACAGACAAGGGAUUGUGCCAUAAAAUAUUUUAUAAGGAGAUUUGCCUGCUAAUACAACUGAUGGCAGUCUAUUAAUCAAGUACACUACAGUUAAUACACAAGCUCCCUAAAAGUGAAGUGGUAUACUCCCUUGAAACCUGAGUGCUCUUGCCACUUUCAAGAUAUGUUUGUGCCUUCUCCCCACCACUCUAUUCUGUUGUGGAGCUACUAUAUUGUCUAAUACCACUAUAAAGUAAGAAAUUAGUAAACUCUUUACUAAAAAACUCAGCACCAUUAUGAGUUCUGGUCAUUCUAACUUGUUUAUGAAACUGAAUUUGCACCAUUUUGACAAAGGAUUUAAGUAAAACAAUAGAGUCAUUUUUCAAUUUCAUCAGAAAAAUUCAUUUCAUUUUUGAGUGAUCAUCCACAAAAAUAAGAAAAUACCUAUGACUUUAAGAAGUAGGAACCUUUUUAGGCCCCAUAUAUCAAUGUGGAGAAGAUGAAAAAUACCAUCUGACCUAGUAGUACUGAGAGGAAACAAUUUUCCUAUUUGUCUAGCUAAUGGACAUACAGUGCAAUCAUGGAAACUACAAGAUCUCACUUUAUUUUGUAGAAUAUAUAACUGCUUCAUUAUAGAGGCUGGCAUAUGACCAAGUCUUUUGUGCCAACCCUGAACAUCUUUAGAUAAUGUGUUUGCAAUAUAUCUACUAGAUUUUAUUCCUUCCUUUAUUCCUAAAUCCAUCACCUUACCAGAAUUUUUUGGAAGUAGAAGAUAUAAGCCUCCUUGUUCCUUACCAAUCCCCCUCAUAGGUCCUAAAAUACACAGAAAUGGGGAAAGAAAAGCACUAAGCACUUUAAUUCUCUAGUCAUCUAGAGAUUGACAGUAAGUUAUAUGUGAAAUUUGGUACAUAUAAUACAUUUCCAAUAUCAUAACCUCCUGCAUGUUACAUCUGCCCUAAUUGUUAACUAGUACAGUCCUACCAUUUGGUAGAUGCAUAUUACUCUUCUUUGGAUCAUGCAUAUUAGUCAAACUAUUCAUCAACUAUAGGUUACUGGUCAUAUGAUCUAUUGUUCCAAUGUCAAUUAUCCAUGAAUCUUUAUAUAUAUGCAUAGAAUUAGAGUUUUCGGUAGCAUUACCUACCACAUUUCUAGCCAGCUCUACUCUCUUUCCUUUAUCAAGCAUGUGCAUAAUUUGGUUGUACUACUUAUAAGUAAAGUAAUUUUGCCCUUUGUUUCCCUGUUUAUUAUAAACAUAGAUUCCUGAGUGAUGUUGUGAUCUUUGAGCAGUUCCAUUACUUCCAACAAUACGAGUGCACUUGGCUCUUUGAUGAUAUUAUUAUUUAUGAACAUUCUCAAUAGAAUUAGAUACAACUCUUAUAUUCUGAGCAAUAUCAUGUAUUUCGUCAAAACAAUCAUGUAUAGACAUAUUUGCUUGCCUUAUAGACUUGUCCCAACUACCUUCUCCUAUGAUGUUAUUACCUUAUCUAAUCAAUGGUUUCUUUUUUCCUCUGUAGCCUAGUGGAUAACCUAUUACUCUGUUGCACAUGGCUUCACUGUGACCAUUUCUUCUACAAAGGUCACAAAACAAAUAGCUACUAAAAUUGCUACUUGUUACCACCAAAAUUGCCAGAAUGGUUAUAAUUGUUAAAAUUUUUGCCCUCGGACUGACUAUUAUAAAAAACUUAAUAAACCUGUACUUUCACUCAGCACAUGCCCUGUUUAUGAUGAACUAGUUGUUAUUUAGUAUGUAUUAGGGUACAAGAAUCUAUAUAUAAGCAACACGAACUUCAACAUUAGUUCAAUUCCAAGACAAGAACACUUAUGAAGUUCCUUAACACCUUCAACACAACAUUAUGAAUAAUCUAUCUAAUAAGUGUGUUAAUGUUCAAAAAAGAGAUGAAAUAGAAUUUUAAGGCCAAGUACCCCGACUUCACGGAGUUUUGUUAAGUAAUAAUUCCCCUCAAUGUACCCGAGGUUAUGAAAUCUUCCUCCCAGGAUAAACUGGCCUUCAAUCCAAACAAUAGCGGUACCUCAAAUUAUUGGAUUCAACGAACUCACUCAACGAUUUGAUUGAUCACACAGAAUGUUUUUGAAGACAAGAAGAGAGCUUUUUUUUCAGAAAAUUUAUGUCUAAGCCUGUAGAUGAAGGCAGGUUUAUAGCCUAUCAGAUGCCUCUUCGAAAAGGUGGCAAUAGUUCACUUAAAAGGUGUGACCUUUCUGGAAAUUCAUGUUUGUUCGUCCAAAGAAUGUGUCUUUUCCGAAAAGGCAUACCAUUUCAUGAAACAGUGUGUCAUUUCGUUAAAGGGUUGCAUCCCCUCCGUAGCAUCACUUCGUUUCUGCAUUACAUUUCAAAAUAGUGUCAGCCACUACAUGCAUGCGUAUAAAUGGAGGAUUAAAAAAUCAUAGAAAAUAUCUGUUUUCUCUUUUGGUAUUUUUGUAUUAAAUUUAUGUCAAAUAAACUUUGUCCAAAAAAAUGGAUCUCAUCGAUUGACAAAUCCGAAGCCGAAGCUGAGCAAGCGAUGACGACGGUACGAGACAUCUCUUAUUUCUUGCCUCACUUACCAAGUGGAAUAAGUGUUUCUUAAUAAACACUUGAAAGUCAUAUUCUCCCACCAAUGUGGGAGAAUCAGUAGACUUUUCAUUUUAGAGUACACUUUCUUUUUUAGUGUUUUCUUCUCUAUUUUUCCUCCACUUGUUACCCUCCAUUUUCCAUUCAUACUUUUCAUAUACUUUGAACCCAACAAUCCCCCACAUGAAUGAGGAAUGGCUAUUUUUCAUAAAAAUUUUACGGACAAGUAUACGAUCAUCAAGCAAAGAUGAUUGCAUCUGGAUAAAUGGGUUUUUCGUUCAAUUUUCCGUAGUGAACAUGCAUCGGAUGCACUCGGUCAAUCAGUAGAUUUGAUAUCUUUGAACCGUUGAGCUUUAAUGUACACCUAGACAACACAUGUCACACAACCAGCCUUUUACUGUUUAUGAUUCUCAUGGUUUUGUUCUUUUCAGCCAUGAACACGUCCCAGUUUUAUGAGAGCUUAGAGAAUAGGCCUUUACUAACAUUCUCCUUGAAGUGACUUCCACUUCGCCCUCACAUAGGUGAUUUCUAAAUGUUUAGUCCUAUAGAUUAAACUAUUUGGUCAAAUCUGCCAAAUUUAGAUUAUCAUUAAAAGAUUUUUCACCUUAAGUCUUAUCCUUAUUUCCUAAACAUUGUCUACAUCAUAAGAAUGUCUUGGGUAUAUUAACAAUGUUGAACCUUUCAAACACAACUUUGUUUGAUCUCCUUGAACCUAGCUUUUGGGAUCUCCAGUCUGCUAGGUAGAGUUACCGCUAUGCUAACUUGUCCUAUGCCGUAAACCCAUUCCCUUGGAUGUCCUUUCCACUCCUUCUCUAGAUAGGCCUUUUGUAAGUAGAUUCGACACAUUAUCCUUAGACUUUACAUAGUCAACAAUGAUAAUUCCACUAGAGAGAAGUUCCUUAAUGGUAUUAUGUCCCCGUCGUAUGUGAUGAGAUUUACCGUUGUACAUAAUGCUCCGUGCCCUACCUAUUACCGCUUUGCUAUCAUAGUGUAUACAUACUGGUGCCUCUAGUUUGGGACAAUGAGGAAUAUCUUCCAAGAAAUUUCGAAGCCAUUCUGCUUCUUCACCGGAUUUAUCCAAUGCAAUAAAUUCAGAUUCCAUUGCAGAGCGAGCAAUACAAGUCUUUUUGGAUGAUUUCUGAGAGACUGCUCCUCCACCAAUAAUAAAUACAUAUCCACUUGAGGAUUUUACUUCGUUCGAUCCGGUGAUCCAAUUUGCAUCACUGUAUUAUUCGAGUACCGUGGGAUAUUUUUUAUAAUACAAGGCAUAGUCUUUAGUGUAUUUAAGAUACCCCAAAACUCUUUUCAUUCCCAUUCAAUGUGUUUUGUUGGGAUUACUCAUGUACCAACUCAAUUUACUAAUAGAGCAUGAUAUGUCUAGUCAUGUACAGCUCAUUAUAUACAUUAAAAAACCCAAUACUCUUGCAUACUCCAAUUGUGAGUCACUUUCACCUUCAUUCUUUCAAAGUGCAAAGCUCAAUUCAAUCGAGUCUUGGCAAUAUCGAAUUCCAUAUACUUGAAUUUGUCAAGUAAAUUUUUGAUAUAAUGAGACUGUGACAAUGCCAACCCUUGUGGAAUUCUAUGGAUUCUUAUUUCUAAGAUCACAUCCAGAACUCCAAGGUCUUUCAUAUCGAACUUACUCUCGAGCAUUCAUUUCAUUGCAUUUAUGUCUAAAAUGUCUCUACUGAUGAUCAACAUAUCAUGCACAUAUAAACAUACAAUGACUUGGUGAUUUGGAGUGUCUUUAAUAUAAACACAUUUAUCACAUUCAUUUAUCUUGAAUCCGUUUUCCAACAUGGUUAGGUCAAACUUUGCAUAUCAUUGCUUAGGUGUUUGUUUUAGUCCAUAAAGUGACUUAUCAAGUUUACACACCUUAUUUUCUUUUCCUAGGACCACAAAACCCUCAGGUUGUUCCAUGUAAAUUUCUUCCUCAAAUUCUCCAUUUAGGAAUGCGAUUUUCAUAUUCAUUUGAUGGAUUUCAAGACCAUAUACCGCCGCCAAGGCAAUUAAUAUUCGAAUCAACGUUAUCCCUGUUACUGGCGAGUAUGUAUCAAAGUAAUCAAGGACUUCUUUUAUUUGAAGCAUUUUACUACAAGUCUUGCCUUGUAUUUGUCAAUAGUAUCAUCCGCUUUCAUUUUUAUUUUGAAUAUCCAUUUAGAACCUAAAGGUUUAUUUCCUGGAGGAAGAUCAACCAAUUCCCAUGUAUGGUUGUUUGAGAUUGAAUCAAUCUCACUAUUGACUGCCUUUUUCCAAAAGGAUGAGUCUGAUGACAACAUUGCUUCUUUAUAUAUUUGAGGCUCAUUUUCUAAGAGAAAUGUUACAAAAUACGAACCAAACGAAGUUGACGUUCUUUGACGUGUACUACAUCUUGGAUUUUCUUCAUUAUGUACAUUGUCACUUAGUUCAUCUCGAGAUCGUUUAGACCCCCCACUAGACUGUUCAUGUCUAGUUUUAUACGGAUAAAUGUUUUCAAAGAAUUCGCCACCCUAUACCAGAUUUAUAAAUCUAAUAAAGGAAAAAAUACUUUCCAAAAAUAGACAAGUUGAUUUCUUAAAAAAUAAAAUUUGUAGUUUAACAAUAGAACAAACUUUACAAAAUCCUAAACUAAUGGAGAAAAUAGAAUUUUCGAAAAAUCAGUUUUCAUUACAAAUUUGUGGAGAUCACCCAAAUACUUUUUGACAAAGAAAAAAGUAUGUGGUUAGUCUUCCAUAUAAAGACAGUUUUCAAGAGAAUAAUAUUCAAACUAAGGCAAGACCUUGUCAAAUGAAUUCUAAAUAUUUAGAAUUAUGUAAGAAAGAAAUUGAUUCUCUUUUGCACAAGGGCUUAAUAAAACCUUCAAAAUCUCCAUGGUCAUGUACCACUUUUUAUGUUAAUAAACAUGUUGAACAAAAAAGAGGAGUUCUAAGAUUGGCUAUCAAUUACAAACCACUCAACAAAGUCCUCAAAUGGAUCAGGUAUCCAAAUCCUAAUAAGAAGGAUUUAUUGGAUAGAUUAUAUGAUGCUCUAAUAUUUUCGAAAUUUGAUUUGAAAUCAAGUUAUUGGCAAAUCCAGAUAAUGGAAGCAGAUAAAUAUAAAACUGCUUUUAAUGUUUCAAUGGGUCAAUUUGAAUAGAAUGUCAUGCCUUUUGGAUUGAAGAAUUCUCCAUCAAAAUUUCAAAAUCUUAUGAAUGAUAUUUUCAUGCCUUACAGCAAUUUCAUAAUUGUUUAUAUUGAUGAGAUUUUGGUUUUCUCAAAAAAUAUAGAGAUACACUUUAAACAUUUGAAUCUUUUCAAGAAAAUCAUCAUACAAAAUGGGUUAGUAAUAUCUAAACCUAUGAUGUUCCUUUUUCAGAAAAAAGGUAAGAUUUCUAGGUCAUAAUAUUGACCAAGGGAAAAUAAUCCCUAUAAACAGAAGCAUAGAAUUUGCUUCUAAAUUUCCGAUAUCAUAACAGGCAAAACUCAAUUAUAAAGAUUUUUGGAUAGUCUGAAUUAUAUAUGUCUUUUUAUAAUGGAACUUGCUAAAGAUACAGUUAUCUUAUAUGAUAGACAAAAGAAAAGUCCCAAUGCAUAGACAUAGGGUCAUGCCCAAGCUGUAAAAAAUAUUAAGGCAACGGUUAACAACUUGUCGUGCCUUACAUUGGCCAAUCCUAAUUGGGAAAAAAUUAUUGAAACAAAUGCUUAUAAUAUUGGCUAUUGAGGAAUUGUAAAAUAAUAUUCCCUACAGGAUAAACAGGUUUAUAUCAUUCAGUUUUAUUUAGUAAAAUGGAUUUCCAGUCCAAAGAAUUAUGCAACAGUUGCAAAAGAAAUCCUUGCAAUAGCAAAAUGUGUUCUAAAAUUUCAAGGAGAUUUACACAACCAAAAGUUUUUAAUAAAACUGAAUGUCAAGCAGCAAAUUCAACUUUAAUAAAGACUGUAAAUAUGAUGUUUCCAAACAAAUAUUUGCAAAAUGGCAAGCUCUAUUAGCUCCAUUUGAUUAUGAAAUUCAAUAUUUAAAGGGAUUUGACAAUAGUCUUACUUACUUCCUUACUAGAGAAUAUUUGAACUAAUGCCUUUUAAUUUAUACAGGAUGGUAUCUUAGUCUUCAAACUCCUCUAAUAGAGGCAGGACCAGAGGAAGAUCAUGCAGAGGCAGAGAAAAUAUCCUUGCCCAAAUGGAAAACUGUAAUACUUCGCAUUUCCAUAGCAUAAUCUAAGUCCCAAUACAUGAGUAAUCGUAAAUGAAAUUUUUGAAACACUCAUUACUUUUCAGUUUAGAGUCUAUCAUUCUUAGGAAAUUCAAUUAGCUUUCCAACAAUAUACAAGUAGCCCAAAUUUGAUAACCAGGUAAGAAGUUAUGGCGAUUUUAAGUUUCAUUCACAACAUCCCGUCAUUUUAACCUUUAGCGCAUCGCGGAGCAGGCCAAUCUCCUAUUUGGAAAAUUUCAAUGAAGGUCCACGAACCUGGUGCAUUAUGCCAUAGGUCAACUUGACAUUUGUCCAUUUCCAGUGUCAAAGCGCGCUACCACUACGUCGCGGUGAACUUCCAGAUCCCAAUCAGUGAAGGACCGCGAUUUCCCGGCGUCGUGCCAUAGACCAGUUUCCUAGUUGUCCGAUUCUAGUGACACGGCGUGAUAGCGCCGCGUCGCGCCAGCCCAAAAAAUUGGGAUUUUCAGUCAGUUCUGAGUUUUAAUUCCAAGGGCUUUUAAGUACUUUUCCCUUGUCCCAGUCAGCCCCAAACACGAAAUUAAGUCCCUAAUAACCUAAUUGGGCAUUAUUCUAAUCAAUUUUUUCCCAAAAUCAAGAAUAUUAUCUCAAGUAGCAAAACCCUAACCUUCAAGAAUCAAGGUCAACUCUCAAGAACUCUCCAUCAAUCCUUCCAAAUUCAUCAUCCCAGGUAUGUUAGAUGUUCAUCCAUGGAGCCCAAGUAACCUAUUUUAAUCACCAAGUUAUAAUCUUUCAAGUUAUUAUGUUUUAAAUUAUGAUUUUAUCCAUGAAUCUCUAAGUACUAUUGAUUUUAUUCCAUGUUGCCAGGAAAUUAUUGUUAUUAUUCAAUCCUCCAUGUUUUAAUAUUAUUAUUUAUUGAAUUAAACCAUGAUUUAAUACUAUUAUGAUGAAUUCAUGCUAUUCCUACAACUUUCAUGACAUUUCUAUGAUUGUUUUAAAACAUGAACUACAAGUGUUUGAUAAAAUGCCUACAAGAGUGAUUGAUUUAAAUGAAAACCUUUCAUGUUUUGUCCUUCAAGCUUUAGUAUCUUUUCAGUAUUAUUGUUUUGAGUCCUGGGGGUAUUGAAUAUUGGAAAACCAUAGUUAUUUAUUUAGUCUAGUCUCAGUACAUUACAGAAUAGUCUUCAGAUUAUAUUAUGAGCAUUAUCAGAAUCACCAUAGUAAUUCAACUCAAAACAAUCUAGUAUCUCAGUGUCUUUCAGUUGGGAGUAGGAUUUAGCACUGAGAGAGUGCAGGGAUGGAGGCUUCCCCGUCAGAUAGGCAAAGUCGUUAGUAGAAGUCCCUAUACUCUAGAACUAUGUAGCCAGUAUAGGAUAUAAGUAGUCACCGGUCAGAUUAGGCUUGACUAUCUCGCAGGGGUCACCCGUCAGUUCAAGCUUGACACCCUUAGUCCUUUGGAUAUUAUAUCUUUUUAGUGGAUUCACAAAGCCAUUAUUAGUACCCUUGGUACGGUAUUAACACCCUUCCAACUGGGUUUACAGGUUGGAGCCUGAUUAGCUCAAAUUAGGGAAUGUCGGUUAGAUGAUACCUCCCACAGUCUCAGAUAUAGUCUCAGUUACAACCUCAGUUCAAUUAUACAAUCUUAGUGUUGUUUGACCAAAGCAUACAAAUUUCAAUUAUUUUAGUAUUUCAAUUUACAGAUAUUACUCAAUUUAUGUUAUAUGCUUGGUCAUGCAUCAUCAGUAUUUACAGAUUUUCAUGCAUUUUUAGUAUCUAUAGAUUCCAUGCUCUCUACUCAGUAGUCCAUGCUUUACAUGCAUAUCCAGUUAAUUAUUAGUUCUGUUAAUAAAACCAAGCAUACCAUCCUACCUCAUUUAGCAUACCAGUAUAUUCAAAGUACUGAUCGCAUACCUUUCUUUUGCAUUAUGAUAUAUCAUAUCAUAGGUGUUGACGCUCAGUUCUCAGAUCACACUUAGUCCCUUAAAUCAUCAGCAGUAUAGUAG
RNAcentral lists this long non-coding RNA (36215 nucleotides) under Capsicum annuum. RNAcentral describes it as "long non-coding RNA (CANN_LNC013581)". Lineage: Eukaryota; Viridiplantae; Streptophyta; Magnoliopsida; Solanales; Solanaceae. The record is from RNAcentral.